This 496-nucleotide ribosomal RNA is filed under the name uncultured bacterium. Its description in RNAcentral is "partial 16S ribosomal RNA". It matches the Rfam family "Bacterial small subunit ribosomal RNA", at positions 28 to 506 of the family's 1533-position model. The record is from RNAcentral.
GAUGAACGCUGGCGGCGUGCCUAAUACAUGCAAGUCGAGCGAACGGACGAGAAGCUUGCUUCUCUGAUGUUAGCGGCGGACGGGUGAGUAACACGUGGAUAACCUACCUAUAAGACUGGGAUAACUUCGGGAAACCGGAGCUAAUGCCGGAUAAUAUUUUGAACCGCAUGGUUCAAAAGUAAAAGACGGUCUUGCUGUCACUUAUAGAUGGAUCCGCGCUGCAUUAGCUAGUUGGUAAGGUAACGGCUUACCAAGGCAACGAUGCAUAGCCGACCUGAGAGGGUGAUCGGCCACACUGGAACUGAGACACGGUCCAGACUCCUACGGGAGGCAGCAGUAGGGAAUCUUCCGCAAUGGGCGAAAGCCUGACGGAGCAACGCCGCGUGAGUGAUGAAGGUCUUCGGAUCGUAAAACUCUGUUAUUAGGGAAGAACAUAUGUGUAAGUAACUGUGCACAUCUUGACGGGACCUAAUCAGAAAGCCACGGCUAACUACGU